AACGAACGCUGGCGGCGCGCCUAAUACAUGCAAGUCGAGCGAGAAGACGUAGCAAUACGUUUGUAAAGCGGCGAACGGGUGAGGAAUACAUGGGUAACCUACCCUCGAGUGGGGAAUAACUAGCCGAAAGGUUAGCUAAUACCGCGUACGCUCCUUGGACUUCGGUUCAGGGAGGAAAGCGAUACCGUGGGUAUCGCGCUCUUGGAUGGGCUCAUGUCCUAUCAGCUUGUUGGUGAGGAACGGCUCACCAAGGCUUCGACGGGUAGCUGGUCUGAGAGGACGAUCAGCCACACUGGCACUGCGACACGGGCCAGACUCCUACGGGAGCAGCAGUAAGGAAUAUUGGUCAAUGGACGCAAGUCUGAACCAGCCAUGCCGCGUGGAGGAUGAAGGUCUCUGGAUUGUAAACUUCUUUUAUCUGGGACGAAAAGGGUCUUUCUAGAUCAACUGACGGUACCA
This 459-nucleotide ribosomal RNA is filed under the name uncultured bacterium. RNAcentral's name for it is "bacterial SSU rRNA". It matches the Rfam family "Bacterial small subunit ribosomal RNA", at positions 29 to 480 of the family's 1533-position model. The record is from RNAcentral.